This 444-nucleotide ribosomal RNA is filed under the name uncultured bacterium. RNAcentral's name for it is "partial 16S ribosomal RNA". It matches the Rfam family "Bacterial small subunit ribosomal RNA", at positions 338 to 795 of the family's 1533-position model. The record is from RNAcentral.
CCUACGGGAGGCAGCAGUGGGGAAUAUUGGGCAAUGGAGGCAACUCUUACCCAGCAAUGCCGCGUGAAUGAAGAAGGUCUUCGGAUUGUAAAGCUCUUUAAUUGGGGACGAAAAAAAUGACGGUACCCAAGGAAUAAGCCUCGGCUAACUACGGGCCAGCACCCGCGGGAAUUCGUCGGGGGCAAGCGUUGUUCCGAAUGACUGGGGGUAAAGGGUGUGUAGGCGGUGUAGCAAGUUAGGAGGGAAAUAGCUAGGGCUUAACUCAGGUACUGCUUCUAAAACUGGUAUACUUGAGUGCAGUAGAGGAAAGUGGAAUUCCUAGUGUAGCGGUGGAAUGCGUAGAUAUUAGGAGGAACACCAGUGGCGAAGGCGGCUUACUGGACUGUAACUGACGCUGAGGCACGAAAGUGUGGGGAGCAAACGGGAUUAGAUACCCCUGUAGUC